This 1551-nucleotide ribosomal RNA is filed under the name Staphylococcus haemolyticus. RNAcentral's name for it is "bacterial SSU rRNA". It matches the Rfam family "Bacterial small subunit ribosomal RNA". Lineage: Bacteria; Bacillati; Bacillota; Bacilli; Caryophanales; Staphylococcaceae. The record is from RNAcentral.
UUUAUGGAGAGUUUGAUCCUGGCUCAGGAUGAACGCUGGCGGCGUGCCUAAUACAUGCAAGUCGAGCGAACAGACAAGGAGCUUGCUCCUUUGACGUUAGCGGCGGACGGGUGAGUAACACGUGGGUAACCUACCUAUAAGACUGGGAUAACUUCGGGAAACCGGAGCUAAUACCGGAUAAUAUUUCGAACCGCAUGGUUCGAUAGUGAAAGAUGGUUUUGCUAUCACUUAUAGAUGGACCCGCGCCGUAUUAGCUAGUUGGUAAGGUAACGGCUUACCAAGGCGACGAUACGUAGCCGACCUGAGAGGGUGAUCGGCCACACUGGAACUGAGACACGGUCCAGACUCCUACGGGAGGCAGCAGUAGGGAAUCUUCCGCAAUGGGCGAAAGCCUGACGGAGCAACGCCGCGUGAGUGAUGAAGGUCUUCGGAUCGUAAAACUCUGUUAUUAGGGAAGAACAUACGUGUAAGUAACUAUGCACGUCUUGACGGUACCUAAUCAGAAAGCCACGGCUAACUACGUGCCAGCAGCCGCGGUAAUACGUAGGUGGCAAGCGUUAUCCGGAAUUAUUGGGCGUAAAGCGCGCGUAGGCGGUUUUUUAAGUCUGAUGUGAAAGCCCACGGCUCAACCGUGGAGGGUCAUUGGAAACUGUAAAACUUGAGUGCAGAAGAGGAAAGUGGAAUUCCAUGUGUAGCGGUGAAAUGCGCAGAGAUAUGGAGGAACACCAGUGGCGAAGGCGACUUUCUGGUCUGUAACUGACGCUGAUGUGCGAAAGCGUGGGGAUCAAACAGGAUUAGAUACCCUGGUAGUCCACGCCGUAAACGAUGAGUGCUAAGUGUUAGGGGGUUUCCGCCCCUUAGUGCUGCAGCUAACGCAUUAAGCACUCCGCCUGGGGAGUACGACCGCAAGGUUGAAACUCAAAGGAAUUGACGGGGACCCGCACAAGCGGUGGAGCAUGUGGUUUAAUUCGAAGCAACGCGAAGAACCUUACCAAAUCUUGACAUCCUUUGACAACUCUAGAGAUAGAGCCUUCCCCUUCGGGGGACAAAGUGACAGGUGGUGCAUGGUUGUCGUCAGCUCGUGUCGUGAGAUGUUGGGUUAAGUCCCGCAACGAGCGCAACCCUUAAGCUUAGUUGCCAUCAUUAAGUUGGGCACUCUAAGUUGACUGCCGGUGACAAACCGGAGGAAGGUGGGGAUGACGUCAAAUCAUCAUGCCCCUUAUGAUUUGGGCUACACGUGCUACAAUGGACAAUACAAAGGGCAGCGAAACCGCGAGGUCAAGCAAAUCCCAUAAAGUUGUUCUCAGUUCGGAUUGUAGUCUGCAACUCGACUACAUGAAGCUGGAAUCGCUAGUAAUCGUAGAUCAGCAUGCUACGGUGAAUACGUUCCCGGGUCUUGUACACACCGCCCGUCACACCACGAGAGUUUGUAACACCCGAAGCCGGUGGAGUAACCAUUUGGAGCUAGCCGUCGAAGGUGGGACAAAUGAUUGGGGUGAAGUCGUAACAAGGUAGCCGUAUCGGAAGGUGCGGCUGGAUCACCUCCUUUCU